This 460-nucleotide ribosomal RNA is filed under the name uncultured bacterium. Its description in RNAcentral is "bacterial SSU rRNA". It matches the Rfam family "Bacterial small subunit ribosomal RNA", at positions 356 to 831 of the family's 1533-position model. The record is from RNAcentral.
GGGGAAUAUUGCGCAAUGGGCGAAAGCAUGACCCAGCAACGCCGCGUGAAGGAAGAAGGCCUUCGGGUUGUAAACUUCUUUUAAGAGGGACGAAGAAGUGACGGUACCUCUUGAAUAAGCCACGGCUAACUACGUGCCAGCAGCCGCGGUAAUACGUAGGUGGCGAGCGUUAUCCGGAUUUACUGGGUGUAAAGGGCGCGUAGGCGGGAAUGCAAGUCAGAUGUGAAAUCCAAGGGCUCAACCCUUGAACUGCAUUUGAAACUGUAUUUCUUGAGUGUCGGAGAGGUUGACGGAAUUCUUAGUGUAGCGGUGAAAUGAGUAGAUAUUAGGAGGAACACCAGUGGCGAAGGCGGUCAACUGGACGAUAACUGACGAUGAGGCGCGAAAGCGUGGGGAGCAAACAGGAUUAGAUACCAUGGUAGUCCACGCCGUAAACGAUGAAUAAUAGGUGUGGGGGGAC